GGACCCGCACAAGUAGUGGAGCAUGUGGUUUAAUUCGAAGAUACGCGCAGAACCUUACCAACACUUGACAUGUUCGUCGCGACUUUAAGAGAUUAAAGUUUUCGGUUCGGCCGGACGAAACACAGGUGCUGCAUGGCUGUCGUCAGCUCGUGUCGUGAGAUGUUGGGUUAAGUCCCGCAACGAGCGCAACCCUCACUUUUAGUUGCCAUCAUUAAGUUGGGCACUCUGAAAGAACUGCCAGUGAUAAGCUGGAGGAAGGUGGGGAUGACGUCAAGUCCUCAUGGCCCUUACGUGUUGGGCUACACACGUGCUACAAUGGUAUCUACAACAGGAAGCAAGACUGCGAGGUCAAGCAAAUCUCAUAAACCGUGGCUCAGUUCAGAUCGUAGGCUGCAACUCGCCUACGUGAAGGAGGAAUC
RNAcentral lists this ribosomal RNA (419 nucleotides) under uncultured bacterium. Its description in RNAcentral is "bacterial SSU rRNA". It matches the Rfam family "Bacterial small subunit ribosomal RNA", at positions 917 to 1333 of the family's 1533-position model. The record is from RNAcentral.